GAUGAACGCUGGCGGCGUGCCUAAUACAUGCAAGUCGAGCGAACAGACGAGGAGCUUGCUCCUCUGACGUUAGCGGCGGACGGGUGAGUAACACGUGGAUAACCUACCUAUAAGACUGGGAUAACUUCGGGAAACCGGAGCUAAUACCGGAUAAUAUAUUGAACCGCAUGGUUCAAUAGUGAAAGACGGUUUUGCUGUCACUUAUAGAUGGAUCCGCGCCGCAUUAGCUAGUUGGUAAGGUAACGGCUUACCAAGGCAGCGAUGCGUAGCCGACCUGAGAGGGUGAUCAGCCACACUGGAACUGAGACACGGUCCAGACUCCUACGGGAGGCAGCAGUAGGGAAUCUUCCGCAAUGGGCGAAAGCCUGACGGAGCAACGCCGCGUGAGUGAUGAAGGUCUUCGGAUCGUAAAACUCUGUUAUUAGGGAAGAACAAAUGUGUAAGUAACUAUGCACGUCUUGACGGUACCUAAUCAGAAAGCCACGGCUAACUACGUG
RNAcentral lists this ribosomal RNA (497 nucleotides) under uncultured bacterium. RNAcentral's name for it is "partial 16S ribosomal RNA". It matches the Rfam family "Bacterial small subunit ribosomal RNA", at positions 28 to 507 of the family's 1533-position model. The record is from RNAcentral.